UUGUUUUUUAUGCAUUUUAAACAGGUCAAAUGGAGUGGUGCCUACCAUGAGGGGGCAGGAUUGACACUAGGGGAGGAGGUAGAGCAGGUCAAUGCCUUCCUCUCUCGGAUAGCAGUGACCACCAAACACAUGUCCAAAGCAGGACGCACAGACAUGCUCACCCUCUUGGCCAUGUGCUGGAAUCAGCAAAAGACUGACAACUUGGCCACCUCACUGUCCCGCAGAUAUCUGAGAACCAUGAAGACCGAAUUGGACGUCACGGAGAGCCAGAUGGAGGACUGGGUCAGUGACGUUAAGGAUUAGGCAGACGGUGAGGAAAUUAUAACAGUUUUGUAAGCACAGAGUUUCAGACUCUUGGCGAUAAAAUCCUGUGACAUUCUACCUAGUCUUUAUGAAGCAUUCAUUCAAAUUAAACCGUUAUUAGAAGUCACUUAAAAUGUAACACGCAUU
This is a long non-coding RNA of Gadus chalcogrammus (walleye pollock), 450 nucleotides long. RefSeq lists it as uncharacterized. The record is from RefSeq and is a predicted model, not a curated record. NCBI's taxonomy places the organism in Eukaryota, Metazoa, Chordata, Actinopteri, Gadiformes, Gadidae. The transcript is spliced from 3 exons.